RNAcentral lists this ribosomal RNA (497 nucleotides) under uncultured bacterium. Its description in RNAcentral is "partial 16S ribosomal RNA". It matches the Rfam family "Bacterial small subunit ribosomal RNA", at positions 28 to 507 of the family's 1533-position model. The record is from RNAcentral.
GAUGAACGCUGGCGGCGUGCCUAAUACAUGCAAGUCGAGCGAACAGACCAGGAGCUUGCUCCUCUGACGUCAGCCGCGGACGUGAGACUAACACAUGGUUAACCUACCUAUAAGAUUGGGACAACUUCGGGAAACCGGUGCUAAUUCCGGAUAAUAUAUUCAUCCGCAUGGUUCAAUAGUGAAAGACGGUUUUGCUGUCACUUAUAGUUGGAACCGCGCUGCAUUAGCUAGUUGGUAAGGUAACGGCUUACCAGGGCAACGAUGCGUAGGCGACCUGAGAGGGUGGUCCGCCACGCUGGAACUGAGGCACGAUCCAGGGUCCUACGGAAGGCGGAGAUAGCGAAUCUUCCGCAAUGGGCGAAAGACUGACGAAGCAACGCCGCGUGGGUGAUGAAGGUCUGCGGAUCGUAAAACUCUGUUAUUGGGGUAGAACGAUUGUAUAAGUAACUAUGCACGUGUUGACGGUACCUAAUCAGGAAGCCACGGCUAACUACGUG